UGGGGAAUCUUGGACAAUGGGGGCAACCCUGAUCCAGCCAUGCCGCGUGAGUGAUGAAGGCCUUAGGGUCGUAAAGCUCUUUCGCCUGUGAAGAUAAUGACGGUAGCAGGUAAAGAAACCCCGGCUAACUCCGUGCCAGCAGCCGCGGUAAUACGGAGGGGGUUAGCGUUGUUCGGAAUUACUGGGCGUAAAGCGCACGUAGGCGGACCAGAAAGUUGGGGGUGAAAUCCCGGGGGCUCAACCCCGGAACUGCCUCCAAAACUAUUGGUCUAGAGUUCGAGAGAGGUGAGUGGAAUUCCAAGUGUAGAGGUGAAAUUCGUAGAUAUUUGGAGGAACACCAGUGGCGAAGGCGGCUCACUGGCUCGAUACUGACGCUGAGGUGCGAAAGUGUGGGGAGCAAACAGGAUUAGAUACCCUGGG
Molecule: ribosomal RNA, 420 nt
Filed under: uncultured bacterium
Lineage: Bacteria
Description: bacterial SSU rRNA
Rfam family: Bacterial small subunit ribosomal RNA
Source: RNAcentral